Molecule: ribosomal RNA, 440 nt
Filed under: Bacillus sp. LXH-2
Lineage: Bacteria; Bacillati; Bacillota; Bacilli; Caryophanales; Bacillaceae
Description: bacterial SSU rRNA
Rfam family: Bacterial small subunit ribosomal RNA
Source: RNAcentral
UUGGCGGACGGGUGAGUAACACGUGGGUAACCUGCCUGUAGGACUGGGAUAACUCCGGGAAACCGGGGCUAAUACCGGAUGCUUGUUUGAACCGCAUGGUUCAAACAUAAAAGGUGGCUUCGGCUACCACUUACAGAUGGACCCGCGGCGCAUUAGCUAGUUGGUGAGGUAAUGGCUCACCAAGGCAACGAUGCGUAGCCGACCUGAGAGGGUGAUCGGCCACACUGGGACUGAGACACGGCCCAGACUCCUACGGGAGGCAGCAGUAGGGAAUCUUCCGCAAUGGACGAAAGUCUGACGGAGCAACGCCGCGUGAGUGAUGAAGGUUUUCGGAUCGUAAAGCUCUGUUGUUAGGGAAGAACAAGUACCGUUCGAAUAGGGCGGUACCUUGACGGUACCUAACCAGAAAGCCACGGCUAACUACGUGCCAGCAGCCGCGG